This 435-nucleotide ribosomal RNA is filed under the name uncultured delta proteobacterium. RNAcentral's name for it is "bacterial SSU rRNA". It matches the Rfam family "Bacterial small subunit ribosomal RNA", at positions 930 to 1497 of the family's 1533-position model. Lineage: Bacteria; Deltaproteobacteria. The record is from RNAcentral.
CGGUGGAGCAUGUGGUUCAAUUCGAUGCUACGCGAAGAACCUUACCUGGGUUUGACAUCUGGCGAAUUUUCUGGAAACAAAGUCCCGGCGCCAACAGGUGUGACGAGCGCAACCCCUAUCCGUAGUUGCCCCCGGGACGUCAAGUAUCAUGGCCUUUAUAUCCAGGCUACAUACAUGGCCGGUACAAGGGAUGCAAUAUCGCGAGAAGGAGCUUCCAAAAAAACCGGCCUCAGUUCGGAUCGCAGUGCAACUCGACUGCGUGAAGCUGGAAUCGCUAGUAAUCGGGAUCAGCAUGCCGCGGUGAAUACGUUCCCGGGCCUUGUACACACCGCCGUCACACCAUGGGAGUCGGUUGUACCGGAAGUGAGUGAGCCAACCCGCGAGGGAGGCAGCUUCCCAGGUACGACUGGUAACCGGGGUGAAGUCGUACAAGGU